RNAcentral lists this ribosomal RNA (2909 nucleotides) under Bacillus cereus H3081.97. Its description in RNAcentral is "bacterial LSU rRNA". It matches the Rfam family "Bacterial large subunit ribosomal RNA". The record is from RNAcentral. Lineage: Bacteria; Bacillati; Bacillota; Bacilli; Caryophanales; Bacillaceae.
GGGCGCACGGUGGAUGCCUUGACACUAGGAGUCGAUGAAGGACGGGACUAACGCCGAUAUGCUUCGGGGAGCUGUAAGUAAGCUUUGAUCCGAAGAUUUCCGAAUGGGGAAACCCACCAUACGUAAUGGUAUGGUAUCCUUAUCUGAAUACAUAGGGUAAGGAAGACAGACCCAGGGAACUGAAACAUCUAAGUACCUGGAGGAAGAGAAAGCAAAUGCGAUUUCCUGAGUAGCGGCGAGCGAAACGGAACAUAGCCCAAACCAAGAGGCUUGCCUCUUGGGGUUGUAGGACAUUCUAUACGGAGUUACAAAGGAACGAGGUAGACGAAGCGACCUGGAAAGGUCCGUCGUAGAGGGUAACAACCCCGUAGUCGAAACUUCGUUCUCUCUUGAAUGUAUCCUGAGUACGGCGGAACACGUGAAAUUCCGUCGGAAUCUGGGAGGACCAUCUCCCAAGGCUAAAUACUCCCUAGUGAUCGAUAGUGAACCAGUACCGUGAGGGAAAGGUGAAAAGCACCCCGGAAGGGGAGUGAAAGAGAUCCUGAAACCGUGUGCCUACAAAUAGUCAGAGCCCGUUAACGGGUGAUGGCGUGCCUUUUGUAGAAUGAACCGGCGAGUUACGAUCCCGUGCGAGGUUAAGCUGAAGAGGCGGAGCCGCAGCGAAAGCGAGUCUGAAUAGGGCGUUUAGUACGUGGUCGUAGACCCGAAACCAGGUGAUCUACCCAUGUCCAGGGUGAAGUUCAGGUAACACUGAAUGGAGGCCCGAACCCACGCACGUUGAAAAGUGCGGGGAUGAGGUGUGGGUAGCGGAGAAAUUCCAAUCGAACCUGGAGAUAGCUGGUUCUCCCCGAAAUAGCUUUAGGGCUAGCCUUAAGUGUAAGAGUCUUGGAGGUAGAGCACUGAUUGGACUAGGGGUCCUCAUCGGAUUACCGAAUUCAGUCAAACUCCGAAUGCCAAUGACUUAUCCUUAGGAGUCAGACUGUGAGUGAUAAGAUCCGUAGUCAAAAGGGAAACAGCCCAGACCGCCAGCUAAGGUCCCAAAGUGUGUAUUAAGUGGAAAAGGAUGUGGAGUUGCUUAGACAACUAGGAUGUUGGCUUAGAAGCAGCCACCAUUUAAAGAGUGCGUAAUAGCUCACUAGUCGAGUGACUCUGCGCCGAAAAUGUACCGGGGCUAAAUACACCACCGAAGCUGCGGAUUGAUACCGAAUGGUAUCAGUGGUAGGGGAGCGUUCUAAGGACAGUGAAGUCAGACCGGAAGGACUGGUGGAGUGCUUAGAAGUGAGAAUGCCGGUAUGAGUAGCGAAAGACGGGUGAGAAUCCCGUCCACCGAAUGCCUAAGGUUUCCUGAGGAAGGCUCGUCCGCUCAGGGUUAGUCAGGACCUAAGCCGAGGCCGACAGGCGUAGGCGAUGGACAACAGGUUGAUAUUCCUGUACCACCUCUUUAUCGUUUGAGCAAUGGAGGGACGCAGAAGGAUAGAAGAAGCGUGCGAUUGGUUGUGCACGUCCAAGCAGUUAGGCUGAUAAGUAGGCAAAUCCGCUUAUCGUAAAGGCUGAGCUGUGAUGGGGAAGCUCCUUAUGGAGCGAAGUCUUUGAUUCCCCGCUGCCAAGAAAAGCUUCUAGCGAGAUAAAAGGUGCCUGUACCGCAAACCGACACAGGUAGGCGAGGAGAGAAUCCUAAGGUGUGCGAGAGAACUCUGGUUAAGGAACUCGGCAAAAUGACCCCGUAACUUCGGGAGAAGGGGUGCUUUCUUAACGGAAAGCCGCAGUGAAUAGGCCCAAGCGACUGUUUAGCAAAAACACAGCUCUCUGCGAAGCCGUAAGGCGAAGUAUAGGGGGUGACACCUGCCCGGUGCUGGAAGGUUAAGGAGAGGGGUUAGCGUAAGCGAAGCUCUGAACUGAAGCCCCAGUAAACGGCGGCCGUAACUAUAACGGUCCUAAGGUAGCGAAAUUCCUUGUCGGGUAAGUUCCGACCCGCACGAAAGGUGUAACGAUUUGGGCACUGUCUCAACCAGAGACUCGGUGAAAUUAUAGUACCUGUGAAGAUGCAGGUUACCCGCGACAGGACGGAAAGACCCCGUGGAGCUUUACUGUAGCCUGAUAUUGAAUUUUGGUACAGUUUGUACAGGAUAGGCGGGAGCCUUUGAAACCGGAGCGCUAGCUUCGGUGGAGGCGCUGGUGGGAUACCGCCCUGACUGUAUUGAAAUUCUAACCUACGGGUCUUAUCGACCCGGGAGACAGUGUCAGGUGGGCAGUUUGACUGGGGCGGUCGCCUCCUAAAGUGUAACGGAGGCGCCCAAAGGUUCCCUCAGAAUGGUUGGAAAUCAUUCGUAGAGUGCAAAGGCAUAAGGGAGCUUGACUGCGAGACCUACAAGUCGAGCAGGGACGAAAGUCGGGCUUAGUGAUCCGGUGGUUCCGCAUGGAAGGGCCAUCGCUCAACGGAUAAAAGCUACCCCGGGGAUAACAGGCUUAUCUCCCCCAAGAGUCCACAUCGACGGGGAGGUUUGGCACCUCGAUGUCGGCUCAUCGCAUCCUGGGGCUGUAGUCGGUCCCAAGGGUUGGGCUGUUCGCCCAUUAAAGCGGUACGCGAGCUGGGUUCAGAACGUCGUGAGACAGUUCGGUCCCUAUCCGUCGUGGGCGUAGGAAAUUUGAGAGGAGCUGUCCUUAGUACGAGAGGACCGGGAUGGACGCACCGCUGGUGUACCAGUUGUUCUGCCAAGGGCAUAGCUGGGUAGCUAUGUGCGGAAGGGAUAAGUGCUGAAAGCAUCUAAGCAUGAAGCCCCCCUCAAGAUGAGAUUUCCCAUAGCGUAAGCUAGUAAGAUCCCUGAAAGAUGAUCAGGUUGAUAGGUUCGAGGUGGAAGCAUGGUGACAUGUGGAGCUGACGAAUACUAAUAGAUCGAGGACUUAACCAU